RNAcentral lists this ribosomal RNA (253 nucleotides) under uncultured bacterium. Its description in RNAcentral is "partial 16S ribosomal RNA". It matches the Rfam family "Bacterial small subunit ribosomal RNA", at positions 524 to 776 of the family's 1533-position model. The record is from RNAcentral.
UACGGAGGGCGCGAGCGUUACCCGGAUUUACUGGGCGUAAAGGGCGUGUAGGCGGCUUGGGGCGUCCCAUGUGAAAGGCCACGGCUCAACCGUGGAGGAGCGUGGGAUACGCUCAGGCUAGACGGUGGGGGAGGGUGGUGGAAUUCCUGGAGUAGCGGCGAAAUGCGCAGAUACCGGGAGGAACGCCGAUGGCGAAGGCAGCCACCUGGCUCACUGGUGACGCUGAGGCGCGAAAGCGUGGGGAGCAAACCGG